Molecule: long non-coding RNA, 797 nt
Organism: Parus major (Great Tit)
Lineage: Eukaryota; Metazoa; Chordata; Aves; Passeriformes; Paridae
Exons: 3
Source: RefSeq, a predicted model, not a curated record
CACCUGAUUGGCUCUGCCAUGUCCCCACAGGACCGCCCCUGCAGGCCUUGGGCUGUCCCAACCCAACUGACAACCAGACUCCGUUAAACCAAGGCUCUGAGAAAGAGAAUAAAAGCCUUCAUGAACACAGAGCCCAGGUUUCUGCACCAUCUGAGGUCCUGCAUGUCCCCAUUGCCUUGGUGUCCCCUCUGCAGCCCUGAGAAGACCCAGGAGAGGCAACAGCCAUGAAGAUCCUGUUCCUGCUCUUCCCCGUGAUCCUCCUGUUGGCCCAGGGUGCUGCAGGCAGUAUAAUUCAAUGUAGAGAGAGAAGAGGAAUCUGUUCUUUUGUAAGAUGUCGUCCCCCUCUAAGAACUAUUGGAAAAUGUACAGCACUAGCUGUGUGCUGCAGAAGGUAAGAUCUAGAUUUCCUGACUGAGGAAAGAGUUUCUUCCUUUUUCCUCAGAAGGAUCUGUUACAAAUUCCUUUCUUGACAACUCUUGAUAAAUAAUCUCCUGCAUUUAUGCUUUAAGAGAGAUGCCAAAAAAGGAAGGGAAAAAUUCUCAGGGGUUUGGAGCUACCCUGAGUGAGGAUGAAGGAGAUGCAGGACAGCCAAGGCCUUCCCACUCACCCAAGCAACUAAAGAGAAAAACCUUCCCUGUCCUUGGGCAGCACUGAGGACACGAUCCAGGUCCUGCUGCACCUGCACAGAGCUGGAGCCAGGGCUGCCAGCACUGAGACAGCCCAGGUCCAACCUGUCUGCACCAAGGACUGCACCUCACCUGCCCUGAGCCUGAGGCUGCUGCACCACACCCUGGGCA